Molecule: ribosomal RNA, 253 nt
Filed under: uncultured bacterium
Lineage: Bacteria
Description: partial 16S ribosomal RNA
Rfam family: Bacterial small subunit ribosomal RNA
Source: RNAcentral
UACGUAGGUGGCAAGCGUUGUCCGGAAUUAUUGGGCGUAAGGCGCGCGCAGGCGGCCUCUUAAGUCUGAUGUGAAAGCCCCCGGCUCAACCGGGGAGGGCCAUUGGAAACUGGGAGGCUUGAGUAUAGGAGAGAAGAGUGGAAUUCCACGUGUAGCGGUGAAAUGCGUAGAGAUGUGGAGGAACACCAGUGGCGAAGGCGACUCUUUGGCCUAUAACUGACGCUGAGGCGCGAAAGCGUGGGGAGCAAACAGG